GACGAACGCUGGCGGCGUGCUUAACACAUGCAAGUCGAACGGAAAGGCCCUGCUUUUGUGGGGUGCUCGAGUGGCGAACGGGUGAGUAACACGUGAGUAACCUGCCCUUGACUUUGGGAUAACUUCAGGAAACUGGGGCUAAUACCGGAUAGGAGCUCAUGCUGCAUGGUGGGGGUUGGAAAGUUUCGGCGGUUGGGGAUGGACUCGCGGCUUAUCAGCUUGUUGGUGGGGUAGUGGCUUACCAAGGCUUUGACGGGUAGCCGGCCUGAGAGGGUGACCGGCCACAUUGGGACUGAGAGACGGCCCAGACUCCUACGGGAGGCAGCAGGGGGGAAUAUUGCACAAUGGGCGGAAGCCUGAUGCAGCAACGCCGCGUGCGGGAUGACGGCCUUCGGGUUGUAAACCGCUUUCGCCUGUGACGAAGCGUGAGUGACGGUAAUGGGUAAAGAAGCACCGGCUAACUACGUG
RNAcentral lists this ribosomal RNA (468 nucleotides) under uncultured bacterium. RNAcentral's name for it is "partial 16S ribosomal RNA". It matches the Rfam family "Bacterial small subunit ribosomal RNA", at positions 28 to 507 of the family's 1533-position model. The record is from RNAcentral.